UACGUAGGGCGCAAGCGUUGUCCGGAAUUAUUGGGCGUAAAGAGCUCGUAGGCGGCUUGUCACGUCGGAUGUGAAAGCCCGGGGCUUAACUCCGGGUCUGCAUUCGAUACGGGCUGGCUAGAGUGUGGUAGGGGAGAUCGGAAUUCCUGGUGUAGUGGUGAAAUGCGCAGAUAUCAGGAGGAACACCGGUGGCGAAGGCGGAUCUCUGGGCCAUUACUGACGCUGAGGAGCGAAAGCGUGGGGAGCGAACAGG
This 253-nucleotide ribosomal RNA is filed under the name uncultured bacterium. RNAcentral's name for it is "partial 16S ribosomal RNA". It matches the Rfam family "Bacterial small subunit ribosomal RNA", at positions 524 to 776 of the family's 1533-position model. The record is from RNAcentral.